GACGAACGCUGGCGGCGUGCUUAACACAUGCAAGUCGAACGGAAAGGCCCUGCUUUUGUGGGGUGCUCGAGUGGCGAACGGGUGAGUAACACGUGAGUAACCUGCCCUUGACUUUGGGAUAACUUCAGGAAACUGGGGCUAAUACCGGAUAGGGGCUCCUGCUGCAUGGUGGGGGUUGGAAAGUUUCGGCGGUUGGGGAUGGACUUGCGGCUUAUCAGCUUGUUGGUGGGGUAGUGGCUUACCAAGGCUUUGACGGGUAGCCGGCCUGAGAGGGUGACCGGCCACAUUGGGACUGAGAUACGGCCCAGACUCCUACGGGAGGCAGCAGUGGGGAAUAUUGCACAAUGGGCGGAAGCCUGAUGCAGCAACGCCGCGUGCGGGAUGACGGCCUUCGGGUUGUAAACCGCUUUCGCCUGUGACGAAGCGUGAGUGACGGUAAUGGGUAAAGAAGCACCGGCUAACUACGUG
This 468-nucleotide ribosomal RNA is filed under the name uncultured bacterium. RNAcentral describes it as "partial 16S ribosomal RNA". It matches the Rfam family "Bacterial small subunit ribosomal RNA", at positions 28 to 507 of the family's 1533-position model. The record is from RNAcentral.